Molecule: ribosomal RNA, 465 nt
Filed under: Vreelandella stevensii
Lineage: Bacteria; Pseudomonadati; Pseudomonadota; Gammaproteobacteria; Oceanospirillales; Halomonadaceae
Description: partial 16S ribosomal RNA
Rfam family: Bacterial small subunit ribosomal RNA
Source: RNAcentral
CCUAGGGGGGGCAGCAGUGGGGAAUAUUGGACAAUGGGCGAAAGCCUGAUCCAGCCAUGCCGCGUGUGUGAAGAAGGCCUUCGGGUUGUAAAGCACUUUCAGUGGGGAAGAAAGCCUUGGGGCUAAUACCCUCGAGGAAGGACAUCACCCACAGAAGAAGCACCGGCUAACUCCGUGCCAGCAGCCGCGGUAAUACGGAGGGUGCGAGCGUUAAUCGGAAUUACUGGGCGUAAAGCGCGCGUAGGCGGUCUGAUAAGCCGGUUGUGAAAGCCCCGGGCUCAACCUGGGAACGGCAUCCGGAACUGUCAGGCUAGAGUGCAGGAGAGGAAGGUAGAAUUCCCGGUGUAGCGGUGAAAUGCGUAGAGAUCGGGAGGAAUACCAGUGGCGAAGGGGGCCUUCUGGACUGACACUGACGCUGAGGUGCGAAAGCGUGGGUAGCAAACAGGAUUAGAUACCCCUGUAGUC